CAGCAGCCGCGGUAAUACGGGAGGGGCAAGCGUUAUCCAUCAUUACUGGGCGUAAAGAGUCCGUAGACGGUAAAGUCAGUUACUAGUUAAACCUUAAAGCUUAACUUUAAGUUAGCUAUUAAUACUUCUUUACUUUGAGUUUUAUACAGAAAAGUAGAAUUUUAUACGAAAGGGUAAAAUCUAUAAAUAUAUAAAGGAAUGCCAUUAGCGAAAGCGACUUUUUAGUAAAAACUGACGUUGAGGGACGAAAGUGUAGGUAGCAAACAGGAUUAGAUACCCUGGUAGUCUACACUGUAAAUUAUGAGUGCUGUAAUUUAAUGUAAAAGAAAUCCUUUUAUUUAGAUUUUUAAGUUAACACUAUAAGCACUCCGCCUGAGGAGUACGAUCGCAAGAUUGGAACUCAAAGGAAUUGACGGGGGCUAUCACUAGUGGUGGAGUAUGUGGUUUAAUGCGAUAAUCCGCGCAAAACCUUACCAAUUCUUGACAUAAUAGCUAAAUACUAAUAUUUACAAUUUUAGUAAAUAUUAGUAGAAUUAGAAUUACAGGUGUUGCACGACUGUCGUAAGCUCGUGUUGUGAAAUGUUUGGUUAAUUCCUUUUAAACGAGCGAAACUCUUAUCUUUAAUUAAAUAAUUUACCAAUUUUAAAAUUUUUAAAAGUUUUUUAAAAGGUUUUAUUUGAGACUGCCAAUAAUAAGUUGGAGGAGGGUGAGAACUAAGCCAAGUCAAUGUGACCCUUAUGAAUUGGGCUACACACGUGCUACAAUGGAGAUUACAGAAAGUUACAAUUAAAUUUUUAUUUUUUGUUAAUCCUUAAAAAUUUCCCCAGUUCGGAUUGUAAGCUGAAAUUCGCUUACAUGAAGUUGGAAUCACUAGUAAUCGCAAAUCAGAACGUUGCGGUGAAUAUGUAAACUAGCCUUGUACACACCGCCCGUCACAUGCAGAGAGCUAAUUUUUCUUGAAAAUUUAACUUUGUUAAGUUGAUUGAAAAUUUAGUGAUUUGGAUGAAGUCGUAACAAGGUAACCGUA
RNAcentral lists this ribosomal RNA (1027 nucleotides) under uncultured bacterium PENDANT-24. RNAcentral describes it as "bacterial SSU rRNA". It matches the Rfam family "Bacterial small subunit ribosomal RNA", at positions 509 to 1504 of the family's 1533-position model. Lineage: Bacteria; Pseudomonadati; Pseudomonadota; Alphaproteobacteria; Rickettsiales. The record is from RNAcentral.